RNAcentral lists this ribosomal RNA (487 nucleotides) under uncultured bacterium. Its description in RNAcentral is "bacterial SSU rRNA". It matches the Rfam family "Bacterial small subunit ribosomal RNA", at positions 58 to 518 of the family's 1533-position model. The record is from RNAcentral.
CAAGUCGAACGCGAAAGGGACUUCGGUCCGUGAGUAAAGUGGCGCGACGGGUGAGUAACGCGUAGAUAACCCUGUCUUCGAUGUCUGGAAUAAUACGCCGAAAGGGGUACUAAUACCGGAUAUUCUUGCUUUUUCAGUAAGUUAUGCAAGCAAAGGUGGCCUCCUGCAUAUGCUACUGCAUGAAGAGGGGUCGUGCGUACCAUUAGCUAGUAGGUGGGGUAAUGGCCUACCUAGGCGACGAUGGUUAGCGGGUCUGAGAGGGUGGACGGCCACACUGGGACUGAGAACGGCCCAGACUCCUACGGGAGGCAGCAGUGGGGAAUAUUGCGCAAUGGGGGAAACCCUGACGCAGCGACGCCGCGUGAGCGAAGAAGGCCUUCGGGUUGUAAAGCUCUGUUGUAAGGGACGAAUGUCUAGGGUAGUAACUGACCUUAGAAUGACGGUACCUUACCAGCAACGCCCCGGCUAACUACGUGCCAGCCGCUGC